Non-coding RNA from Bos taurus (domestic cattle), 73 nucleotides. NCBI's taxonomy places the organism in Eukaryota, Metazoa, Chordata, Mammalia, Artiodactyla, Bovidae. The record is from Rfam.
UCCCUGGUGGUCCAGUGGUUAAGACUCCACACUCCCAUUGCGGAGGGUCUGGGUUCAGGCCCUGGUCAGGGAA